UUGAAGACUUGAAUACGUUUGUUACAACAGGAUUGAAUUUGUUUACAAAGAAAAGUAUUAUGGAAAUAGCAUCUUCUCAAUUGCUAAAAUCUAUUUAUUCUGGUCAAGUAAGUAUCUUUCUUAAGUUUGUAAGUAUCUUACUUAAGCUCGGAUAGCUCAGUAGGAUAGCACGCUUCUAUUAUUGUGAUUUAUCAAUUGCCGUAGCAGUAGGAUUGCAGAUUCAAAUAUACUUUUUGCCAGCUCAGGGUACUAUUUAAUUAUCUCUUCUAUUAUAAAUUUUCUUUCUUUACUAGUAAGCAAAUAAUCUAGUUGAGUAAAUAAGCGUUAUUGUUUAUCCUUUUAUCAUAAAACGUUUAUUGUCUAUACCUAAAACAAACUUUAAAGUCUACAGAGUUCUUUAAAUACUGUGUUCUUAAAAAUAUAUUUCAACAUUUGUUUAUUUAUUGUGAGUUGUUCAAACAUCAGUUUGGAAACAAAAUGAUGAGUAAUAUUUUAAUGUAAAUCUUUUGCAAUAUUUUAUUUUUAUUCAAGUAUUCAAUUUUAAAUACUUGAAAUCAAAUAGUUUUAUCUUCAACUAAUCAACUUUUAGUCAAAAUUAAUAACAACUUACUAAUGCUAAAUCCUUAAAUAAUAUUUUUGUAUUUUAUGUUCAGUUAUACAGUUACAGACAUAACUGGUUUAUUGCUGGUGGAGAAGAUAAAAGUUUGUAUUAUAUAAAAAUAUAGGACUUAACACUCUAUUAUUUCAUUUGUUUUAUUUUUAUUUUUAUUUUUUUUCUGAUUAUUUGAAAUGUUUUUGCAUUUCUAUUUAUUUAUUUAGAAAAUCUUUGUAACGGAGAUCUUCUUAGUCUUUUGUCAGAAGAUCAAUCACAUGAUCUUUUUAAUGCUUUUGUUUUAGCUUUUAACAAGUUGAAGGAUAGUGACUAUGUAUUUAAAGUUUUAAUGCCUGAAUCAAUUGUAUUUUUAUUUGCUAACGCUAGUAAUGUGUCAAGAAUAAAGGCUGAAGUAGCUCUGAGUGCUUACAUUUCUGAAAGAGAUAAAAAACGUUUCUGUAGCUCACCAGAAGCAUAUUGUACGACUGAAAUCCCUUGAAGAUAUUGGCAAAUCAUCUAAAAGUUCUAAUGAUUUAGAUAUAAAGACAACUAUUAUGAUUGAUGAACCACCUGGAUGUUCAGCAAAUGCGCAGAUACAGGGGAAGGGGGGUAAUGUGGGUAAUGCAUUACCCCCACCAGACUUUCAAUUGUUUUUUUUUACUCAAAUGAAUGUGUUGUGGUGGUUUCAAUCAAAACGUUUUAAAGCUUAAUCAAAUUGGCUGUCGUUUUGCACAUGAGCUAAGUUCCAGUAUUUGUGUGUUGAAUCGCCUUGUUUUAAAAUCGCCUGUAUUUACUAUCUUAAUAUACUAUGGAAUAUUACUAAAUAUACUUAAUAUACUAAAAAGGCGUAAGAUGACAGACUAUUUUCAACAAAAGUAAUAGUUUUUUUAUAAAGUGUAAAAGUUUUUUUUC
This is a non-coding RNA of Hydra vulgaris (swiftwater hydra), 1504 nucleotides long. The record is from RefSeq and is a predicted model, not a curated record. NCBI's taxonomy places the organism in Eukaryota, Metazoa, Cnidaria, Hydrozoa, Anthoathecata, Hydridae.